GACGUAGGAGGCAAGCGUUAUCCGGAUUUACUGGGCGUAAAGAGCGCGCGGGCGGCCUUUUAAGUCUGCAGUGAAAUCUCCCCGCUUAAGGGGGAGGGGCCUGUGGAAACUGGAGGGCUUGAGGGCAGAAGGGGGAGGUGGAAUUCCCGGUGUAGUGGUGAAAUGCGUAGAUAUCGGGAGGAACACCGGUGGCGAAGGCGACCUCCUGGGCUGCCCCUGACGCUGAGGCGCGAAAGCGUGGGGAGCGAACCGG
RNAcentral lists this ribosomal RNA (253 nucleotides) under uncultured bacterium. RNAcentral's name for it is "partial 16S ribosomal RNA". It matches the Rfam family "Bacterial small subunit ribosomal RNA", at positions 524 to 776 of the family's 1533-position model. The record is from RNAcentral.